RNAcentral lists this ribosomal RNA (214 nucleotides) under uncultured prokaryote. Its description in RNAcentral is "partial 16S ribosomal RNA". It matches the Rfam family "Bacterial small subunit ribosomal RNA", at positions 524 to 737 of the family's 1533-position model. The record is from RNAcentral.
UACGUAGGGUGCAAGCGUUAAUCGGAAUUACUGGGCGUAAAGAGUGUGUAGGCGGUGCUCUAAGUUCGGUGUGAAAUCUCCCGGCUUAACUGGGAGGGUGCGCCGGAAACUGGAGUGCUCGAGCGUGGGAGAGGAAAGCGGAAUUCCUGGUGUAGCGGUGAAAUGCGUAGAUAUCAGGAGGAACACCUGCGGUGUAGACGGCUUUCUGGACCAU